GUAUAGCCCUCAGCGCAUGCGCACGAGUGGGACUUGGGGCCUCGCUCACACGGACUGUAGCGGCACUGUCCUCUCCUCUGUUUGCAAAGUUGCGAGUCUAGAACAGAAGAUGCUUUAUUUCAGAGCAAGUAGAGUGCUGCUUGAUGGACCAGUACGAUAACGUACAUGAAAGUACUCCGGAAACUGCGAGCCUACGUGUGGACAGGGAGGAAGGUGGUGGUGAUGGCCAGCCGCCACAACUCAUAAAUAAGAACAGUUGACUGAAAUAAUGAAGACUGAAGAGCGGCUCCUCCCAGCAGCUCUUCUGCCUUCACUGGUCAUCAGCGCGCUCGAUGUCUAAGAGAAUGAACUCAAACCUGUUCCCAUAUCUUCGUGUCAAUACCAGCCCUCUGCACAGAGGGGCAUGGUCCAUGCUUGGUUUCACACUGAAGCUGUGAAAGUCCAGAGACACCAGCAGAGACAUGGAAAGGGCCCUGACUGAGAGACAAGUGACUUUGUGUAAUG
Long non-coding RNA from Peromyscus eremicus (cactus mouse), 504 nucleotides. RefSeq lists it as uncharacterized. The record is from RefSeq and is a predicted model, not a curated record. NCBI's taxonomy places the organism in Eukaryota, Metazoa, Chordata, Mammalia, Rodentia, Cricetidae. The transcript is spliced from 3 exons.